RNAcentral lists this long non-coding RNA (756 nucleotides) under Nicotiana benthamiana. RNAcentral describes it as "long non-coding RNA (NBEN_LNC008425)". The record is from RNAcentral. Lineage: Eukaryota; Viridiplantae; Streptophyta; Magnoliopsida; Solanales; Solanaceae.
UUUCUUUGAGACACAAAAUUUUUGAUAUAGAAAGAAUGCUUCUGUGAAUAAUUUAUACUUCGUAUAUGUUUCGCCAUCGGGGUUUGACUAAUCUAUAUGGGCGCGGUUCAUUCGACCAUUUGGCUCAUUACAAAGUUUCCCUAUGGAGACCUUUGGACAUGAACUACUUUCCUAAAAAAUAUAACAUCUGAGGGUGAUGCCCCCAGUAUUCGAGGUUGAUUGUAAAGAAGCCUUAGAUACUGUUGAAUUUUCCUCAAGUAGUGCAUAAUUGUUUCCUCGUUUAAAACCUCACCGGAAAAAUGCAUUUGGGACAAAAACCAAUCUAAGGGAAAAAGAGUGAAUGCAAUUCUUGCUUUAAAACCAAAGGUCUCGAUGCUUUAGCAAUACCAUUUGGGAAGUGAUAUGUUUCAAUUAUUUGGCAGUUGUUGUAUGUCCAUCGUGCCAAUCUUAUAAGAUCCUUUUCCGACAAUGUCAAGGACUUGGUAGGUUCCUUCCCAAUUUGGGUCGAGCUUCCCUUUAUUAGGAUCUCGAGUGUUGAUGGUGGCCUUCCUCAUGAUCAAGUCCCUGGCUCUGAAGUGGUGAAGGUGUUCUCCUACUGUAGUAUCUUUUGAUUCGUUGCUUUUGUGCAGCCAUUCGAACGAGUGCGGCUUCUCAUUAUUCAUCCAAUAAUUCGAGGCUAGUAUUCAUAGCCUCGUAAUUUGAUUCUUCUAUUGCGUAUCAAAAACCGGCACUGGGUUCCCCAAACUCGAUACGACU